Oreochromis niloticus (Nile tilapia) is the source of this 666-nucleotide non-coding RNA. The record is from the annotation of a RefSeq genome assembly. NCBI's taxonomy places the organism in Eukaryota, Metazoa, Chordata, Actinopteri, Cichliformes, Cichlidae.
AGACUUCCUGCUGCCAAUGAAAGCAGAGCAGCAGAAAGACGUGCUGAGUGUAAAGCUGUCAGCAGGGGGAAUAACACAGGGCUGUGAAUGAGUCCUGUCACUGUGAUCAGGCUCCUCCUUCUAAUCCACCAACUUAGUGUUGAUGAAGACUAAACAGAGAGAUCACAGCUUCUUUAUACUUGCUGUAGCUCACAGUUACUCUACACUGCAGAUAUGACGCCUCUGUUCAUCUCAGUGCUGCUGGCUGCUAUGUGCCUCGAAUGCAGAGCACAAAAAGACAACGUGCUGCAAGCAAAAGGAGAAGAGACUGCUGCUGCAGGAGGCACAGUAACACUUGGCUGUCUCUAUAACAGCAGUGGUUUAACAGGCACUUCUCUCUUCUGGUACAAACAGGAUGGAAACAACAGCCCCAAAUUCAUCCUGAGUCGUGUUAGCAGGGAUGAUGGAAACACAGCAGCUGAGUUCAAGGAGAGAUUUUCAUCCACACUGGAUUCCAGCAUCAGAUCAGUUCCUCUGAAGAUCCAGAAGCUUCAGCUGUCUGACUCUGCUGUGUACUACUGUGCUCUGAGGCCCACAGUGACAGGAAACACCAAAACUCUGUACAAAAAUCUUUGGAUCAAAGACAACAGAAUACUCCACAACAUCCACUAGAGGGAGCCACACACG